RNAcentral lists this ribosomal RNA (527 nucleotides) under uncultured bacterium. Its description in RNAcentral is "bacterial SSU rRNA". It matches the Rfam family "Bacterial small subunit ribosomal RNA", at positions 355 to 899 of the family's 1533-position model. The record is from RNAcentral.
UGGGGAAUCUUGGACAAUGGGGGCAACCCUGAUCCAGCCAUGCCGCGUGAGUGAUGAAGCCUUAGGGUCGUAAAGCUCUUUCGCCUGUGAAGAUAAUGACGGUAGCAGGUAAAGAAACCCCGGCUAACUCCGUGCCAGCAGCCGCGGUAAUACGGAGGGGGUUAGCGUUGUUCGGAAUUACUGGGCGUAAAGCGCACGUAGGCGGACCAGAAAGUUGGGGGUGAAAUCCCGGGGGCUCAACCCCGGAACUGCCUCCAAAACUAUUGGUCUAGAGUUCGAGAGAGGUGAGUGGAAUUCCAAGUGUAGAGGUGAAAUUCGUAGAUAUUUGGAGGAACACCAGUGGCGAAGGCGGCUCACUGGCUCGAUACUGACGCUGAGGUGCGAAAGUGUGGGGAGCAAACAGGAUUAGAUACCCUGGUAGUCCACACCGUAAAACGAUGAAUGCCAGUCGUCGGGUAGCAUGCUAUUCGGUGACACACCUAACGGAUUAAGCAUUCCGCCUGGGGAGUACGGUCGCAAGAUUAAAA